GCUUCUUCUGCACGUACCGUCACUUUCGCUUCUUCCGUGCUGAAAGAGGUUUACAACCCGAAGGCCGUCAUCCCUCACGCGGCGUCGCUGCAUCAGGCUUCCGCCCAUUGUGCAAUAUUCCCCACUGCUGCCUCCCGUAGGAGUCUGGGCCGUGUCUCAGUCCCAGUGUGGCCGGUCACCCUCUCAGGCCGGCUACCCGUCGUCGCCUUGGUGAGCCAUUACCCCACCAACAAGCUGAUAGGCCGUGAGCCCAUCCAAAACCAGUAAAACCCUUUCCACACACCACCAUGCGGUGACAUGUCGUAUCGCAGUAUUAGACCCAGUUUCCCAGGCUUAUCCCAGAGUCAAGGGCAGGUUACUCACGUAUUACUCACCCGUUCGCCACUCAUCCACCCAGUGCAAGCACCAAGCUUCAGCGUUCGACUUGCAUGUGUUAAGCACGCCGCCAGCGUUCGUCCUGAGCC
This 464-nucleotide ribosomal RNA is filed under the name Kocuria rhizophila. Its description in RNAcentral is "partial 16S ribosomal RNA". Lineage: Bacteria; Bacillati; Actinomycetota; Actinomycetes; Micrococcales; Micrococcaceae. The record is from RNAcentral.